Sinocyclocheilus grahami is the source of this 279-nucleotide long non-coding RNA. RefSeq lists it as uncharacterized. Lineage: Eukaryota; Metazoa; Chordata; Actinopteri; Cypriniformes; Cyprinidae. The record is from RefSeq and is a predicted model, not a curated record. The transcript has 3 exons.
CGACUGUUUCCAACGUAUAACAGACACAGCGGAUCACAGGAUAAGUGGAAUGUAACACCAACUCCAAGGUCGUCAUACAUCUCCCAGACACAUGGAGACCUCCUGCAGUAGGCCACAUAAUGUCCAAGAGCAUCCUGGAUUAAGCCUCCUUUGAAAGCAAUGACUGCCCUUAAAGUAAAUCUCUCUCCUUGGAGCAUCAGAUUGGAGGGAAAUUCACUCAAAGGAAAUUCUAUGGAGUUGCUUCCCAGAGGGACACUGUGAUGGAUUUUGGAUUGGCCU